Molecule: long non-coding RNA, 661 nt
Filed under: Phasianus colchicus (ring-necked pheasant)
Lineage: Eukaryota; Metazoa; Chordata; Aves; Galliformes; Phasianidae
Description: lncRNA (ENSPCLG00000019248.1)
Source: RNAcentral
AAGCACUGCCAACAAAGUUCACAGUAAAUAUACUCAAUAUUGGAAUAAAGAAUUACCAUAGGAAGCCCCCAAACUCCAGGUUCAUUUGCUGGGACCAGCAAGCCCUAUAAUAGAGCAACAUUUCCCCCAUCAGCAGGUCAGGAGAAAAGGCAUAUUUCAUGCUCACGUUGCUGACCCAGACCUCUGGCUGAAAAGGAAUGAUAUUAAUGUGCUCUGGAGUAGGUUUAUCUGACUCUUAAUCAGCAAGCCGUUAGCCUGACAAAAGGGUCAAAGUAGGGAGUAUAAAACACACUGGUAUAAGAGCGAUCCAUGGGAUUUCCAGAAAAGGCUUGGAAAAAGAGAGUCUGUGGCACUUCCUCUAAUUAUUUUUAUUACCGUGAUUGACUUCAAAACAGCAGCAGCUCAGGAAAAGAAGUGGGAAGAAACCUUACAUUUUUGGAGAGGAUCCUUUGCUCCUGGCCCAUCCCUGCUUGUGGUGCUCCUCUGCUUCUGCUGCUAUCUGUAGUAUUCCUUCCCAGAAUGAAACGCCCAGUUGAAGCUGAUGCUGCUGACAGUGGAAACCUUUUCUGGUCCUGUAUGUCUUAUGCUUUUCCAGUCCUGAGGGGAAAGGUAUUUUAUACUGGUGGUGUGAAAAUGAUACAAGUUCCUGACAAAACUGUAU